This 566-nucleotide long non-coding RNA is filed under the name Homo sapiens (human). RNAcentral describes it as "non-protein coding lnc-PPIAL4F-4:1". The record is from RNAcentral. Lineage: Eukaryota; Metazoa; Chordata; Mammalia; Primates; Hominidae.
AUUCCUAUCAGAGCCUGAGUCACAGACAGUACCUUAGACUCUAAGCUUAGGCACCUUGUGCCUUGUUUUUGUGGCUAAGGAUUCUCAGAGUUGUAGGAUGCUGACAAAGUUUAUCCCAAAGGCUCUGAUUGUACUUUCUCCACAAGCUUCAGCAUGGCAGUAUCUCUCACCACUUGUUUUGGUCCAAGGGCAGAAAUGAGCAUCCUGGAAACCAAUCAGUACUUGCUCUCUGAACUGGAAAAGUGCAAAGAGAACUUCCGAGACCUCACAGAGAAAUUCCUGACAUCCAAAGCUACUGCCUACUCCCUGGCCAAUCACCUGCAGAAAUAUAAGUGUGAAGAGUGCAAAGACCUUAUAGAAUCUGUGCUGGAGGAGGAGCUGCAGUUUCAGGAGAGGGAGCUGACCAAAUUGCCAAGGCCAGCAGCAAGGCUCCGGAUACAUGAUCCCUUAAUUCAGGCUCAGGCUGAAGAACUGACCCACUUACGACAGAAGAUACAAGAAGGGAGAGGUGUCUGCUACCUUUUCACCCAGCAUGUGAAGAACACAGUCAAGUCUUUUGAGGGCCU